This 513-nucleotide ribosomal RNA is filed under the name uncultured bacterium. RNAcentral describes it as "partial 16S ribosomal RNA". It matches the Rfam family "Bacterial small subunit ribosomal RNA", at positions 28 to 507 of the family's 1533-position model. The record is from RNAcentral.
GACGAACGCUGGCGGCGUGCUUAACACAUGCAAGUCGAACGAGAGCGUAGAGAAAGCUUGCUUUUUCUACAAUCUAGUGGCAAACGGGUGAGUAACGCGUACACAACCUGCCCUACGGAUGGGGACAACAGCCUGAAACGGCUGCUAAUACCGACUACGUUCCGAAAGUCGCCUUACUAUCGGAAGAAAGGAUGGCCUCUGUUUAUAAGCUAUCGCCGGAGGAGUGGUUUGCUGCUGAUUGGCUAGUUGGAGGGGUAACGGCCCACCAAGGCGACGAUCAGUAGCCGGUCUGAGAGGAUGGACGGCCACAUUGGAACUGGGACACGGUCCAGACGCCUACGGGAGGCAGCAGUGGGGAAUCUUCCGCAAUGGGCGAAAGCCUGACGGAGCAACGCCGAGUGAGUGAAGACGGCCUUCGGGUUGUAAAGCUCUGUUAUACGGGACGAAUAAUCUUGUGGUUAAUACCCAUGAGAAGUGACGGUACCGUAAGAGAAAGCCACGGCUAACUACGUG